CAAUAGGCUUGGGUUAAAGCCCACCCGAUAGACUCACGACAGUUUCAGCCCCCGCCUCCGAUUGGUCAGCGUCCGAUUGCUACAUCGCGUUCUUUGAGGCGACGUUCUCCGAUUGGUCUAACCCGCGCGUCAGUCAGGGCGGCUGGGCGGGACGAGAGCGGCUCCAAGGGGAGAUCGAUGGAUUGCGGGUCGUAGAGGGGUGGUCGCCGACGGGCAUUUGAAAUACUCGGCCUGAAGAGAGCUGGAAGUCCUGAGGUGGAAUGCAUGUCUGGCUCUCAGACUUCAUCCAUGAGCACCACCUACCCAAGCCCAGUUACAGGACCAUGUCGGGAGUGUAGGCGCUGGACCUUUAAGUGGAAUAUCUCCAGACAGCAAAUAUGUUUGGAACACAGUUUUUAAUAUAUCUACAGUGAGCAACGUAGCAAGGUGCAGAACAGGCCUCCCAGCCCUUUGAGCUGCUCUGCCCAGCAAGCCCCGAUUUCACCCUAGGCUAAUCAUGGGACGUUUUACCGUGAUCAAUUAACCUACCAACUGGUGUGCCUUUGGACUGUGGGAGGAAACUGGAGAACCCGGAGGAAACCCAUGUGGCCAUGGGGAGAAUGGACAGACUCCUUACAGACAGCGGAGUGAACUGCUGGCGCUGUAAAGCGCUGUGCAAAACAGCUAAGCUACUGCGCCACCCUGCAAAGGAAACCGGGUAGCCUUUUCUGUAAACGCUAGAGACGGUUGUGCGUGAAAAUCACAGAUCAGCAGUGUCUGAGAUACUCAAACCACCCCAUCCGGCACCAACAAUCACUCCACGGUCAAAGCCAUGUUUCUUCCCCCAUUCUAACGUUUGGUCUGAACAUCAACUGAACCUCCUGACCACGUCUGCACAGUUUUAUGCAUUGAGUUGCUGCCACGUG
Hypanus sabinus (Atlantic stingray) is the source of this 905-nucleotide long non-coding RNA. RefSeq lists it as uncharacterized. Lineage: Eukaryota; Metazoa; Chordata; Chondrichthyes; Myliobatiformes; Dasyatidae. The transcript is spliced from 5 exons. The record is from RefSeq and is a predicted model, not a curated record.